AGCUUUGCGCAGUGGCAGUAUCGUAGCCAAUGAGGUUUAUCCGAGGCGCGAUUAUUGCUAAUUGAAAAAGAGGUCAAAGUCCGUAAGCCCAUGCUCAGUUUGUAGCAAGGAUCCUGAGAC
RNAcentral lists this small nuclear RNA (120 nucleotides) under Lynx canadensis (Canada lynx). RNAcentral's name for it is "U4 spliceosomal RNA (ENSLCNG00005011857.1)". The stretch from base 1 to 82 matches the Rfam family "U4 spliceosomal RNA". Rfam says of the family: U4 small nuclear RNA (U4 snRNA) is a component of the major U2-dependent spliceosome. The structure of U4 snRNA from yeast and human has been reported. The record is from RNAcentral. Lineage: Eukaryota; Metazoa; Chordata; Mammalia; Carnivora; Felidae.